CCUGACGGAGCAAUACCGCGUGAGGGAGGAAGGCUCUUGGGUCGUAAACCUCUUUUCUCAGGGAAGAACACAAUGACGGUACCUGAGGAAUAAGCAUCGGCUAACUCCGUGCCAGCAGCCGCGGUAAUACGGAGGAUGCAAGCGUUAUCCGGAAUGAUUGGGCGUAAAGCGUCCGCAGGUGGCUAUGUAAGUCUGCUGUUAAAGAGUCUAGCUCAACUAGAUAAGAGCAGUGGAAACUACAUGGCUAGAGUGCGUUCGGGGCAGAGGGAAUUCCUGGUGUAGCGGUGAAAUGCGUAGAGAUCAGGAAGAACACCGGUGGCGAAGGCGCUCUGCUAGGCCGCAACUGACACUGAGGGACGAAAGCUAGGGGAGCGAAUGGGAUUAGAUACCCCAGUAGUCCUAGCCGUAAACGAUGGAUACUAGGCGUGGCUUGUAUCGACCCGAGCCGUGCCGUAGCUAACGCGUUAAGUAUCCCGCCUGGGGAGUACGCCGGCAACGGCG
Molecule: ribosomal RNA, 501 nt
Filed under: uncultured cyanobacterium
Lineage: Bacteria; Bacillati; Cyanobacteriota
Description: bacterial SSU rRNA
Rfam family: Bacterial small subunit ribosomal RNA
Source: RNAcentral